UACAGAGGGGGCAAGCGUUAUUCGGAAUUAUUGGGCGUAAAGGGCGCGUAGGCGGCUUGGCAAGUGGAUGGUGAAAUCCCUCGGCUUAACCGAGGAACUGCCAUCCAGACUGCUUCGCUUGAGACCGGGAGAGGUGAGUGGAAUUCCCAGUGUAGCGGUGAAAUGCGUAGAUAUUGGGAGGAACACCAGUGGCGAAGGCGGCUCACUGGACCGGUACUGACGCUGAGGCGCGAAAGCGUGGGGAGCAAACAGG
This 253-nucleotide ribosomal RNA is filed under the name uncultured bacterium. Its description in RNAcentral is "partial 16S ribosomal RNA". It matches the Rfam family "Bacterial small subunit ribosomal RNA", at positions 524 to 776 of the family's 1533-position model. The record is from RNAcentral.